This 85-nucleotide transfer RNA is filed under the name Shewanella piezotolerans WP3. RNAcentral's name for it is "tRNA-Leu". Lineage: Bacteria; Pseudomonadati; Pseudomonadota; Gammaproteobacteria; Alteromonadales; Shewanellaceae. The record is from RNAcentral.
UACUCAUUACUUUGCUGCUGCGAUGACUGUGCAGCCAUAGCCUUUAUCGCAGUUAAUGGUAUAAACCUGUUUUACUUUGCAGCCC